RNAcentral lists this ribosomal RNA (266 nucleotides) under uncultured prokaryote. RNAcentral describes it as "partial 16S ribosomal RNA". It matches the Rfam family "Bacterial small subunit ribosomal RNA", at positions 524 to 788 of the family's 1533-position model. The record is from RNAcentral.
UACGUAGGUGGCAAGCGUUGUCCGGAUUUACUGGGUGUAAAGGGCGUGUAGGCGGGGAUGCAAGUCAGAUGUGAAAUACCCGCGGCUCAACCGCGGAACUGCAUCUGAAACUGCGUCUCUUGAGUGUCGGAAGGGAAAGUGGAAUUCCUAGUGUAGCGGUGAAAUGCGUAGAUAUUUGGAGGAACACCAGUGGCGAAGGCGACUCUUUGGUCUAUUACUGACGCUGAGGUACGAAAGCAUGGGUAGCAAACAGGAUUAGAUACCCU